AUGCAUGCCGCGGGAGAGAGCGGGCCGCCAGGUCCGCCGCCGAAGGCGCAAUUCGCCCGGAAUCGCUCAGGUAACCCAUACCGCGCAUUGCAC
RNAcentral lists this non-coding RNA (93 nucleotides) under Bordetella hinzii. RNAcentral's name for it is "Glycine sequence". It matches the Rfam family "Glycine riboswitch aptamer". From Rfam's summary of the family: This family represents the bacterial glycine riboswitch. Glycine riboswitches usually consist of two metabolite-binding aptamers domains with similar structures in tandem. The aptamers cooperatively bind glycine to regulate the expression of downstream genes. Lineage: Bacteria; Pseudomonadati; Pseudomonadota; Betaproteobacteria; Burkholderiales; Alcaligenaceae. The record is from Rfam by way of RNAcentral.